Molecule: ribosomal RNA, 622 nt
Filed under: uncultured bacterium
Lineage: Bacteria
Description: bacterial SSU rRNA
Rfam family: Bacterial small subunit ribosomal RNA
Source: RNAcentral
CUCAGGAUGAACGCUGGCGGCAUGCCUAAGACAUGCAAGUCGAACGAGGUGGCCCACAGAAUUUGAUAGAAGCUUUGAGAGCUUGCUCGAGAAGUGGAAAGAGAAGGACGUGGAAUUUCCACCUAGUGGCAAACGGGUGAGUAACACGUGGGUUACCUACCUCUUAGAUGGGGAUACCAAUUGGAAACGAUUGUUAAUACCGAAUGUGAUCUACGGAUUAAAGGAAGCCUUUAAAGCUUCGCUAAGAGAUGGGCCUGCGGUGCAUUAGAUAGUUGGUGGGGUAAGAGCCUACCAAGUCAACGAUGCAUAGCUGAACUGAGAGGUUGAUCGGCCACACUGGGACUGAGACACGGCCCAGACUCCUACGGGAGACAGCAGUUAGGAAUAUUCGUCAAUGGGGGAAACCCUGAACGAGCAAUGCCGCGUGAACGAUGACGGUCCUCUGGAUUGUAAAGUUCUGUUGUUUGGGAAGAACGGCUCUAAUAGGAAAUGAUUAGAGAUUGACUGUACCAUUCAAGAAAGCCACGGCUAACUACGUGCCAGCAGCCGCGGUAAUACGUAGGUGGCGAGCGUUAUCCGGAUUUAUUGGGCGUAAAGCGUCCGCAGCCGGUUUAUUAAGUAU